Molecule: ribosomal RNA, 424 nt
Filed under: uncultured bacterium
Lineage: Bacteria
Description: bacterial SSU rRNA
Rfam family: Bacterial small subunit ribosomal RNA
Source: RNAcentral
GGAAUUGUUCACAAUGGGCGCAAGCCUGAUGACGCAACGCCGCGUGGGGGAUGAAGGUCUUCGGAUCGUAAACCCCUGUCGAAUGGGACGAAUAGCCUUCGGAUUAAUACCCCGGAGGACUGACGGUACCGUUAAAGGAAGCCACGGCUCACUCUGUUCCAGCGGCCGCGGUAAUACAGAGGUGGCACGCGUUGUUCGGAAUUACUGGGCGUAAAGGGCGCGUAGGCGGCCAUCUAAGUCAGACGUGAAAUCCCCCGGCUCAACCUGGGAACUGCGUCUGAUACUGGAAGGCUCGAGUUUGGGAGAGGGAUGUAGAAUUCCAGGUGUAGCGGUGAAAUGCGUAGAUAUCUGGAGGAAUACCGGUGGCGAAGGCGGCAUCCUGGACCAAUACUGACGCUGAGGCGCGAAAGCUAGGGGAGCAAAC